Long non-coding RNA from Hyaena hyaena (striped hyena), 500 nucleotides. RefSeq lists it as uncharacterized. NCBI's taxonomy places the organism in Eukaryota, Metazoa, Chordata, Mammalia, Carnivora, Hyaenidae. The transcript has 2 exons. The record is from RefSeq and is a predicted model, not a curated record.
AGUCAGCGUGCCAGCCCUCCAUUGGCCACUGUGGGAAAUUCUCUGGGCUGGUGGCCUCUUAGGCUGCUUCCUAGCCUGGCCUCUCUGAGCGCAGGGGCCAGGUCCCACCAUCCGAGCACCCACACACAGUGCCGGCACAGAGCCUGGCAGCCAGUAGGGCGGUGAUGAAUGCUCCCAAGCCCGUGAAUGGAUGGGACCCACCUUAACUUCUCCACGUGACCGCUUCAUCUCCGAGUGUGUCCUUAUGUGUACCCAGGAGUACCCACACCAUCCACAGUAACUGGCCCGGGAGAAGGUGGUUCGAAAUUAACAAACCUUCCCCAGCUGCCUUCCGCCCGCUCUUCCAGCCCCCUGCACACCCCUCCACACACCAAGAAACAAAAGCAAAGGCUGCUGGAGCCACGAAGGACCUCAGAGCAUCCAGUCCAGCCCCCUGAGAGGCAGCAGAAGGCAUGAAUAUCCACACAAAACGGGAUAAAUAAAGACUACAGAUAACUUGA